Molecule: unclassified non-coding RNA, 246 nt
Filed under: fungal sp.
Lineage: Eukaryota; Fungi
Description: partial internal transcribed spacer region
Rfam family: Eukaryotic small subunit ribosomal RNA (bases 1-46)
Source: RNAcentral
AAGUCGUAACAAGGUUUCCGUAGGUGAACCUGCGGAAGGAUCAUUAACAAAUUUUCCCUACCAACCAACCCCACGUACUGUGAACCGUUACCAAUGCCCGACGUUGGAGUCUCAAGUCUGGCACACAGCAUUGUCUGUGCGCUAGGCCUCCACGUCCAUUUUUACCACAUCCUAAGAUUACCACUAGAACUGAGACUUUAUGAUGAAAAAUAAAGACAACUUUUAGCAACGGAUCUCUAGGCUCUC